Molecule: ribosomal RNA, 458 nt
Filed under: uncultured bacterium
Lineage: Bacteria
Description: partial 16S ribosomal RNA
Rfam family: Bacterial small subunit ribosomal RNA
Source: RNAcentral
CCUACGGGAGUCAGCAGUGAGGAAUAUUGGUCAAUGGGCGAGAGCCUGAACCAGCCAAGUCGCGUGAGGGAGUACUGCCCUAUGGGUUGUAAACCUCUUUUGUCGGGGAGCAAAAGCCGGACGUGUCCGGCUGUGAGAGUACCCGAAGAAAAAGCAUCGGCUAACUCCCUGCCAGCAGCCGCGGUAAUAUGAGGGAUGCGUGCGUUAUCCGGAUUUAUGGGGUGAAAAGGGUGCGCAGGCGGAUUUUUACGUCCGCGGGAAAAUCGUGGGGCUAAACCCUAUCCAGCAGUUGAAACUGGGGAUCUAGAGUGUGCGAGAGGUAUGCGGAAUGCGGGGUGUAGCGGUGAAAUGCAUAGAUAUCACGCAGAACACCGAUUGCGAAGGCAGCAUACCGGUGCACAACUGACGCUCAGGCACGAAAGCGUGGGUAUCGAACAGGAUUAGAUACCCGAGUAGUC